AAUAGAGCUCGCGUUAGUCUCCCACCUUCAACAUUCUCGAGUCAAUAGUCCCAACGUCUCCUGCCAUCACCCAGUCUUCGGCUCUCAACUCGACACCAUUGGCGGCAAAGGAAAAUUGGAUUAUCGCCGCCGGUAAGUCAUGACGUUUUCUUCUCCAAUUUUCAUGAAUUUUCUUGUUUGUUUUUUGAGACAAAUUUGGGAAAGAAAAGACAACAAAAUGUUGGCCUCUGCAUAGUACAAAAUUUGGGUCUGAUAUUAAUUUCUGUCAUCAGGAGAGCAAAAAGAUAAAAACUUUCAUCUGGGUACAAGUCAUAUUAGGGAUUUUUGACGUUAAUUGGUUCCAAGUUGAGUUUUUGAGGCUUGAUCAUCUUAUUGUUUGAACUUUCUGAGAAUGGUUCAUAUUUGGAUAGUAGUGCUGUUAAUAAAGUUGUCUUCUUUGUCUCUGAAUUCUCAUUUCUAUAGUGUUCUUGUUGUUCAUCUCAUCCAUUAAUGUUUUCUAUUGUUGUUGUUGAUGAUGUUUGUUUAAACUCAGAAACAUCUCAUCCAUUAAUGUUUUCUAUUGUUGUUGUUGAUGAUGUUUGUUUAAACUCAGAAACGAUUCUACAAAUUACUAUAUACAGAUAAGAUUGUUAGCUGGGCUUUAACAUGUGAGCCAUCAAUAUAAGGAGACUUUGAGGACCUGAAAAAAUUCUAACCCAAAGCUAUAAGUUUUUGAAAACUGUUGUAGAUUCGCUCAAGCAUUUCUUAGAUUCUUUCUAUUCAUUGUUUUUUUUUCCAUAUGGUAUGUUCUUAUUGAGCUAUUUUGUGAUAGUAGCUGUUUGCUAGUUACGGGGUUUUUUCUGGGUAGAAGUGUACUGUGUUGAUGUGGAUCUUGAUUUGGUAUUUUUUUGUUGGAACAUGGCUGUAAUUAAGGAUGAUUGUGUUUUUAAAUUGUGAAAUUUUAGUUUGGAUGAAAACUAGUGUGCCUCUGCCUAUAAGCUGUGACAAAGCCUUAAGUGUUUUCUUCAAAUUGGACUUGGAAACAGGAAUUUAUUUUACAGAUACCAUGGUUGAGCAAGUUAAGAAGGAAAUAGGAAAAACACAAAUUUUAAAGGGCAUGCUACUUUCACCAAUGUAAAGAACACGCCGAUUAACGAUCGGAUCCAGUUUAAGUACUGCAAUAGCAUCAACACCUGAUGCUUGAGACUAUAUGAGGGUAAGUGCAUAAUGGUUAUACAAUUUUUCUCUCCCUUUUCUUAGCAUAAAGGUACAACACAUGUUCUGCUGGAUUAUUCCAUAUUUAUGUGCAGAUAGGUUCAUCCGCUAGCUGAAAGAUUUUGUGUUGAUGAAUUGGUGAUUGGAUUGCCUCAACUAAGAUGAAGGGACACAACUGCUAUAGACAAAGGCAUUUGCGAGGACUUGAGAUAUCUCGGACAGGGAUAAGGGCACCGUAAAACUACUGAGCUUCCUCCCUUGAUGAUGGCAUUCAUAAAUUGAAGGAAGAAUGGGGAGAUCAAGAUGAUCAUAGAUGCCAAAAGUAUCAUUCUCCCAGUAAAAGUGCCGGACGUUAGCGACAUCAAUCAAAGGCAUCAAUGGGUUGGACUUGCCUACCAUAUUUGAAGGCAUUUAAAAAUUUUGCAGAAAGCAAAUUGGUUGGAUAGUCUAGUAGCUUAUCUUCGUAUUUAGAUGUGUGACCAUUGUCAUCUAUGUUUUGUAGGUGAAUGUUUUAUAUGACAUGGUCUCAUCUCAUGGUGCAUAACAUGAAGCUUUUCUUGACAGACAUGAAAGUAGAUUUUGCUAAUGAAGAAUCUGAAGAACAAAGAACUUCCGGCUUCAGAAUUAUAUAUUGCAGCUGCUUCUAUAUAGAAAUGAGAACCAAAUUAAGAGGAGCUGAAUAUAUUUUUGUUGAGGGUGAUUAUUGCUUUGCUGGGAUUUUUUCUCUGAAUUCGCAACUUUUCUGAAAUUAAAAAAAUGCAGUUGAUAAUUGAAAACGAGGCUUCACUUAUUGAUGAGUGAGGAGUGAUUACGAC
RNAcentral lists this long non-coding RNA (2009 nucleotides) under Prunus dulcis (almond). Its description in RNAcentral is "sRNA ncRNA". Lineage: Eukaryota; Viridiplantae; Streptophyta; Magnoliopsida; Rosales; Rosaceae. The record is from RNAcentral.